AGAGAGAAGCUUCAAACAGGGGUGGACAAUGGAAGAGCAAACCAAACUAAGUGCUGGAGAGUUGUCAAAAACCAGGAACUGAACUCCCCUAACUCUUCCCCAAAAGAGGAGAGAGGAGGGGAUCAAUUCUGCCUUCCUAUCAAUUCCAAAUGAUCAGUGGGAAGGAAAGUUACUGACAGGUGUCAGUUAGGAUCUGUAGAAAGCCAUAAGCUAUAUAUGCCCUGAGUGUACACCACCUGCUGGGGACUCCUCCUGAACUCAGAGAGCUCCCGAGGUCUUUGUAGGGUAUCCCAGAUUUUUCCAUCAGGCACUUACAGAUUCUGAGUUAGUUUAAUGUUUCCUCACCUGUGCAGGGAUGUCUCAGGAUCUCUCUUUCCCCUGAACCCUGGAGGUCUGGGACCCACGGCUCUUCACCUCGUUCCAGCUGGGAAAUGACAUCAGGUUUUGAAACUGGAAACCCUGCUCAGAUGAAAGAAAACAAAUGCGAUCAGAAUUCUGCAGAACAGCCAGAGACCAGUUCCUCAAAGACAGCAAAGCUAUCACCUGGUUAAAUGGCCAUUCUCCAGCAGGGGGAAGGUGUGAACAAGAAAUGUACAUUCCAUCACAGGGAUGGCUUGACGCUCAGAUCCACGACAGACAGCCCGUCACCAUGACUCAGCUGAAAACUGAGGAUGCCUCUAGCACAAAGGACUGAAUAAGAAGAAGAGGUGGGGAAAAUGCUUGAGACUCUCUCUCCCUUUUUCUCUCUGCUCAUCACAACAACUCCUGAAGAACUGAAAUUGGGGAGGCAGGGUCCUGGCUGAAAGGAAACCCAGUUUAUCACAGCAUAUAGUGAGCGAAAGACAUUCGCUGUGAAUCUCUUUUAGCUAAAGUUAAAAGUUAGUGUUUUAUCUUAUUUCUUUUGUAACCAAGUCUGACAUUUAUGCCUCAUUACUUGUUGUCACUUACAAUCUUUUCUUUCUGUAGUUAAUGAAGUUGUUUCAUAGUUUCAUAUAACUAGUGUGUUUGGAUUAAAGUGUGUGAGAAACUCCACUUGGGCUAACAAGCCUAGUGCAUUCAUUUUCCACUGUUGAAGUGACAGACUUUGUAUGGCCUUGCAUUGUUUAGUAACGUGCCAGGGGGAAAAGUCUGGGACUAGCGAAUUUGCAGGUGUUCUCCGGCGGUAGAAUUCAUGAGUGGUUGACUAGCAGCACUCAACACUGUGCAGCUGAGAGCAAGUUACGUGCCGCAGACAGUGUGUUAACUGGCCAGGAGUGGCUGUUCCCACAGCAAAGCAGGAUAAAAAGCAGUAUAAAAUGGUCAUCAGCCAGGACGGGCUGGGCUGGAGUCUCUAGCCUGUUUGCCAGAAGCUGGGAAUGGGGGACAGGGGAUGGAUCACUUGAUGGUUACCUGUUAGGUUUACUCCCUCUGGGGCACCUGGCAUUGGCCACUGUCGGUAGACAGGAUAAUGGGCUAGAUGGACCAUUGGUCUGACCCAGUGUGGCAG
RNAcentral lists this long non-coding RNA (1486 nucleotides) under Gopherus evgoodei (Goodes thornscrub tortoise). RNAcentral's name for it is "lncRNA (ENSGEVG00005020973.1)". Lineage: Eukaryota; Metazoa; Chordata; Testudines; Testudinidae. The record is from RNAcentral.